GGUCAGCUGACACAUCCCUGCCAAUCUCCGGCAGACCCUCCCUCCCAGACCCUCCUACUUCCUGGACAGCAUCCAUGUUGAAGGCAGCUUCAACAUGGAUGCUGUCCAGGAGGUGGGAGGGUCUGGGAGGGAGGGUCUGCCGGAGAUUGGCAGGGAUGUGUCAGCUG
Molecule: non-coding RNA, 167 nt
Organism: Pelobates cultripes (western spadefoot toad)
Lineage: Eukaryota; Metazoa; Chordata; Amphibia; Anura; Pelobatidae
Source: the annotation of a GenBank genome assembly